Engraulis encrasicolus (European anchovy) is the source of this 1196-nucleotide long non-coding RNA. RefSeq lists it as uncharacterized. NCBI's taxonomy places the organism in Eukaryota, Metazoa, Chordata, Actinopteri, Clupeiformes, Engraulidae. The record is from RefSeq and is a predicted model, not a curated record. The transcript is spliced from 3 exons.
AUACAGGAGUCUCUGAUUGAAUCAUCUCAGCUCUCAUAUCACGUAUGACGCGCCUACGUCACGUCGUCACAACCUGAAGCUAAAGUGGCGAGAGAGCCGUCUCGGCUCGAGCGCGGUCCGGAUUUUAGCUCCACACUGUCGCCAGCCAGACUCCCCACCACAGUGACACAAACCAACCAGCCGCCUCGAGAGGUUGCUGAAGAGGUAUGCAGCGAUGGUCUGGAGGAAAAAAUAGUCACAUGGACUGGUGUGCAUUCCAGUACUUGAAAUGAUGCUGUUGCUCAGGCACAUCCAGGUGCGAGGAUGGGGGAGAUCCGGAUGUCGCUAAAUAAAAGAAUCUGUGAACUGCUUCACCAAGAGAAAAAGAAGUCCAUGGACAGGCCUAUGAGCCCUCUUGUUGACCUUGAGUGACUGAGGCUGCGGGCGGUCUGCCCCUGAAUUCACCUUCACUUUCUUUUCUUUUUUAAAAAAAAUAUAUCUGAAGGUGUGUGUGUGUGUGCGCGCGCGCGGGUGUGUGUGUGUGGGCGCGGGCACGCGUAUGUGUUUGUGUGUGUGCGCGUGUGUGUGCACGCGUGCAUGUGUGCCAGUGCUUUAUGUGAGGUGUUUCGCUUACCGGCCACAGCCACAGUUUUUGUUUUGUUUUCUUUUUGUUUUAUUUGGGUUUUUUUUUUUUUUUUUUUUAAGAAUAUUUCUGCUUUUUCAUUAAGUACAAGUUACUGGCCAAAGUGGGAGACUGAAAUUGUUACUGGCCACAGGCAAGUUUCACCAGCAUUUGGCCUGUUGGCCGGUGUCGUUGUCAAGUCGUUUCCCUGCCUGUCUGCCCCUCUGUCUCUGCAUGUGGGAGCGGUGGUGUUAAAGGGUCGGUUGGUUUCAUGUUUUUAAUAAACCAAUGUCAACAGUUGAAUGAAUUGAAUUGAUGUUUGGUCAUUGUUGUAAUUACAUUACUUCAUAAAUGCCUUGUAUAAAGUACGUUACAGUAUAUUGUGUAGUGUAAUGCAAUACAUAAGUCAAUAUAUGAUUUAAUUAAUAAGCCAUAUACUAUGGGAUAUAAUCCAAUAUAUGCAACAGUAUACUUUACAGUAUAAUGCAAUACAUAAAUCAAUAUAUGAUUCAUCAAUAAGCCAUAUAUUAUGGGAUAUAAUUCAAUAUAUGCAGUAAUAUACUGUACAGUAUAAUGCAAUACAUUAAUCAGUAUA